UGGGGGAUAUUGCACAAUGGGCGAAAGCCUGAUGCAGCGACGCCGCGUGGGGGAUGAAGGCCUUCGGGUUGUAAACUUCUUUUGCUCUGAACAAGGCGCACCAUGGGGUGUGUUGAGUGUAGGGGUUGAUUAGCGCCGGCUAACUACGUGCCAGCAGCCGCGGUAAUACGUAGGGCGCGAGCGUUGUCCGGAAUUAUUGGGCGUAAAGGUCUUGUAGGUGGCUGGUUGCGUCUGUCGUGAAAGCUCAUGGCUUAACUGUGGGUUUGCGGUGGGUACGGGCUGGCUUGAGUGCAGUAGGGGAGGCUGGAAUUCCUGGUGUAGCGGUGGAAUGCGCAGAUAUCAGGAGGAAUACCGGUGGCGAAGGCGGGUCUCUGGGCUGUUACUGACACUGAGGAGCGAAAGCAUAGGGAGCGAACAGG
This 419-nucleotide ribosomal RNA is filed under the name bacterium. RNAcentral describes it as "partial 16S ribosomal RNA". It matches the Rfam family "Bacterial small subunit ribosomal RNA", at positions 355 to 776 of the family's 1533-position model. The record is from RNAcentral.